UCCUAGUUAACCUAGGCAGUCUCAUUAGAGUUCCCACCAUUACGUGCUGGCAACUAAUGACAAGGGUUGCGCUCGUUGCGGGACUUAACCCAACACCUCACGGCACGAGCUGACGACAGCCAUGCAGCACCUGUGCAGAAGCCCCGAAGGGAUUUACCAUCUCUGGUACUGUCUUCUGCAUGUCAAGCCUGGGUAAGGUUCUUCGCGUUGCAUCGAAUUAAACCACAUGCUCCACUGCUUGUGCGGGUCCCCGUCAAUUCUUUUGAGUUUCACCCUUGCGAGCGUACUCCCCAGGCGGUAUACUUAUCGCGUUAGCUACGGCACAGUUAGGGUUGAAUCCAACUACACCUAGUAUACAUCGUUUAAGGCAAGGACUAC
This 378-nucleotide unclassified non-coding RNA is filed under the name uncultured Chlamydiales bacterium. RNAcentral describes it as "contains 16S-23S intergenic spacer region". Lineage: Bacteria; Pseudomonadati; Chlamydiota; Chlamydiia; Chlamydiales. The record is from RNAcentral.